This 226-nucleotide unclassified non-coding RNA is filed under the name Hevea brasiliensis (rubber tree). Lineage: Eukaryota; Viridiplantae; Streptophyta; Magnoliopsida; Malpighiales; Euphorbiaceae. The record is from RNAcentral.
AGGGGUUGGGAGGAGGGAUGAUGGUGGGAAAGCGGUGAAAGGAGAUGGUGGGGUGGGCGGCGGAGACGUUGGCGAUGAAGGGGGCGGUGGCGCCGGUGUUGUAGUGGGGCUCGACGAUGAGGAUGGUGACGGAGAAGUGGUGGCGGAUGAGGAUCUUGGCGAGCUCGACCAUCGAGACGAGGUGGCCCAUCCCCGGCGAGGGAUAGAGGACGACCGAGUACGUCGG